UAGGGAAUCUUCGGCAAUGGGGGCAACCCUGACCGAGCAACGCCGCGUGAGUGAAGAAGGUUUUCGGAUCGUAAAGCUCUGUUGUAAGAGAAGAACGUGUGUGAGAGUGGAAAGUUCACACAGUGACGGUAACUUACCAGAAAGGGACGGCUAACUACGUGCCAGCAGCCGCGGUAAUACGUAGGUCCCGAGCGUUGGCCGUAUUUAUUGGGCGUAAAGCGAGCGCAGCCGGUUUAAUAAGUCUGAAGUUAAAGGCAGUGGCUUAACCAUUGUUCGCUUUGGAAACUGUUAAACUUGAGUGCAGAAGGGGAGAGUGGAAUUCCAUGUGUAGCGGUGAAAUGCGUAGAUAUAUGGAGGAACACCGGUGGCGAAAGCGGCUCUCUGGUCUGUAACUGACGCUGAGGCUCGAAAGCGUGGGGAGCAAACAGG
RNAcentral lists this ribosomal RNA (429 nucleotides) under bacterium. RNAcentral describes it as "partial 16S ribosomal RNA". It matches the Rfam family "Bacterial small subunit ribosomal RNA", at positions 355 to 776 of the family's 1533-position model. The record is from RNAcentral.